GGAUGCGAUCAUACCAGCACUAAUGCACCGGAUCCAUCAGAACUCCGAAGUUAAGCGUGCUUGGGCGAGAGUAGUACUAGGAUGGGUGACCCCUGGGAAGUCCUCGUGUUGCAUCCC
Ipomoea nil (Japanese morning glory) is the source of this 117-nucleotide ribosomal RNA. Lineage: Eukaryota; Viridiplantae; Streptophyta; Magnoliopsida; Solanales; Convolvulaceae. The record is from Rfam.